CCUGGUUGAUCUUGCCAGUAGUCAUAUGCUUGUCUCAAAGAUUAAGCCAUGCAAGUGAAAGUAUAUGCAUAUUUUAUAUGUAGAAACUGCGAACGGCUCAUUAAAACAGUUAUAAUCUACUUGACAUUUUUUCUAUAAGGAUAACUACGGAAAAGCUGUAGC
RNAcentral lists this ribosomal RNA (162 nucleotides) under Plasmodium vivax (malaria parasite P. vivax). Its description in RNAcentral is "partial 18S ribosomal RNA". It matches the Rfam family "Eukaryotic small subunit ribosomal RNA", at positions 3 to 164 of the family's 1831-position model. Lineage: Eukaryota; Apicomplexa; Aconoidasida; Haemosporida; Plasmodiidae. The record is from RNAcentral.